CUGCUAUUGAAUUGUGGUCAAGGAAUUUAAGAGCUCCUUUUUAAACAGUUUUUAAACUACUUUUUCUUAUUUGCUAAUAGCUUUUGGACAUGAAGCACAGGAUCCUGGUGAUGUGAAGAGCAGGCAAGAGGGAGCACUGGGAGCCUUCAGUGCUUCAUCUCCAUGGUAUCCUCUGACACCACUGUGUCAUCGCCAUUCUCUACUGGUGAGCAGCACCACACAUGAAUGUUGCUCACUGGCACAUAGCAGGAAGGCACUGAUGGAGAGCUGCCACCUCUUGGAUCUGGGACACAGGAGCUGCUCAGAGAAAACCCUCUCAGGGCUGCUCAGAUGGGCAGCCCACCUGAACAC
RNAcentral lists this long non-coding RNA (351 nucleotides) under Gallus gallus (chicken). RNAcentral describes it as "lncRNA (ENSGALG00010014064.1)". Lineage: Eukaryota; Metazoa; Chordata; Aves; Galliformes; Phasianidae. The record is from RNAcentral.